RNAcentral lists this ribosomal RNA (466 nucleotides) under uncultured bacterium. RNAcentral describes it as "partial 16S ribosomal RNA". It matches the Rfam family "Bacterial small subunit ribosomal RNA", at positions 28 to 507 of the family's 1533-position model. The record is from RNAcentral.
GACGAACGCUGGCGGCGUGCUUAACACAUGCAAGUCGAACGGUAAGGCUCCAGCUUGCUGGGGUACACGAGUGGCGAACGGGUGAGUAACACGUGGGUGACCUGCCCUGCACUUCGGGAUAAGCCUGGGAAACUGGGUCUAAUACCGGAUAGGACCAUGGUGUGGAUACUGUGGUGGAAAGUUUUUUCGGUGUGGGAUGGGCCCGCGGCCUAUCAGCUUGUUGGUGGGGUAAUGGCCUACCAAGGCGGCGACGGGUAGCCGGCCUGAGAGGGUGGACGGCCACAUUGGGACUGAGACACGGCCCAGACUCCUACGGGAGGCAGCAGUGGGGAAUAUUGCACAAUGGGCGGAAGCCUGAUGCAGCGACGCCGCGUGGGGGAUGACGGCCUUCGGGUUGUAAACUCCUUUCACCAUCGACGAAGGGUUUCUGACGGUAGAUGGAGAAGAAGCACCGGUUAACUACGUG